AGUGUGCGAUGUGUUGCAUACAUAUUUAUAAACAAUUCCUUUAAAUUUAAUUCUUCAAUUUUUAACAUACAGAAAGUGAUUAAACAAAUUGUUCACAAAAGUGAAUUUCGAUCACUCGAAGCAAUGGUGCUAACAGUUUCGAACUCACAGUGACUGAUGGGGAGGAAGAACUAGUAAUACGUAACAAAUAAAAGUAAUGUCCUUCUGUACAGUAUGCCUGUUAGAGGGAAAUUCCUUACAAGCUAUGGGUCAUAAGAAAACUUGAACAGCACUUUAGUCUUAUAAAGAAAGUUUUUCAAACUAUUCCUCUAUGCAGUUUUCGUUGUGUAUUGGUUUAUUUGUUGUGAAUGUGGACUCUACAGUGUUGUUGUUCCAGAAUUAUUCUUUCCAAUUCAUCAACUACAUUGGACAGGUAGGAUUAAUGUUUACCAGUUUUGUUUAAUUUGAAAUUAAUUUAUCCUAUAUUAAACAAGCUGAAAGUAUCAAAAGGUAUGGCAUUUGUUGUGAGGCACUUUCAAUUCCCCAACUUAAAUAUGUUGAUUUAAUUUAUUGUUAAAUUAAUUUCAUCCUUACUAAGUGAGCUAAUUGAGCGAAAAGAACUUUAGAUUUGGAAUGUCCCUUCAACCCCCAAUUUUAAAUACGGUGUUUUUAUUUCUUGAUAAAUUAAUUUCUCUCUUAUUAAACCAGCUGAAAGUACCAAAACGUAUUAAAGUUACGAAUCAUCACUAAAAAGAAGUUUUUAGGUGAAAAUUAUUGGAGUGCGCUUACAACCUUCAAUUUAAAAGCGUUGUUUUAGUUUUUGCUAAAUCAGUUAAUCCUGUUGAAAGUAUCAGAAUGUAUUAAAGUUGAAUUUAAAGAAUUUUAUAGGUGAAAAUUAACCCUAAACCUAUGAACAUUGUUUUUUUUAUUGAUAAAUUAAUUUCUCUCGUAUUGCACGAGCUGAAAUUACCAAAAUGUAUUAUUGUCGUUGUAGAGCAUCAGUUAAACGAAUUUUAUGGUUGAAAAUUAUCAGGGUGCAUUUUUAAGCCCCAAUUUAAAGAAAUCGUUUUUAUUUCUUGAUAAAUUAAUUUCUCUCUUAUGAAGCGAACUGAAAGUAUCAAAAUGUAAUAAAAUCGUCGGAGGUGAACACAAACUAAAAUAAUUUCCCACCUCUAUGUGUCUAAAACGUACUAGUGAAUAUUUUAAACCCUCUUUGAAAACGGAGUGUUUAAGUUUAAUAAAUAAAUUAUAAUUGCUUUUGUUGGCUGACGAUCAAAAUACUUUGCAGUACUGUGGGUUGCCUGCAUAUAAGGACUGGAAAUGGUAGUAUUUAUAAGUAUUAAAUUAUCAUGUUACCUUCCAGCCAAAUUAAAUGAGAGUGCCCUGUAGCCUAGUUAAAGAUAGAAAUGUUACAGUGUGACUCGAAAUUUGUAAGCAACUAAAUUUUUGGAUUUUAAUAAAAUAA
Molecule: long non-coding RNA, 1444 nt
Organism: Agrilus planipennis (emerald ash borer)
Lineage: Eukaryota; Metazoa; Arthropoda; Insecta; Coleoptera; Buprestidae
Exons: 3
Source: RefSeq, a predicted model, not a curated record